AUGAUCGGAUGGCCAGUACCAUUUUUGAGUUUGAAUAAGAAAUCAGGGCACUGAUCAACGGCCCAGAUGUGAUCCAUCAUGAGAUCCGACGGCUGAGGAUGUUUUUCGACUGAGAAUAAGAGAGAAAUUGCAUGAUCCAACAACCAGAAACCAAUCAGAGGCAUGAUCGGAUGGCUGUGGCUGAAUCCGAUGUUGAUAAGGAUUAAAGCACU
RNAcentral lists this long non-coding RNA (212 nucleotides) under Elaeis guineensis (African oil palm). RNAcentral's name for it is "long non-coding RNA (EGUI_LNC047935)". The record is from RNAcentral. Lineage: Eukaryota; Viridiplantae; Streptophyta; Magnoliopsida; Arecales; Arecaceae.